This 70-nucleotide transfer RNA is filed under the name Pristimantis ornatissimus. RNAcentral describes it as "tRNA-Ile". It matches the Rfam family "tRNA". From Rfam's summary of the family: Transfer RNA (tRNA) molecules are approximately 80 nucleotides in length. Their secondary structure includes four short double-helical elements and three loops (D, anti-codon, and T loops). The record is from RNAcentral. Lineage: Eukaryota; Metazoa; Chordata; Amphibia; Anura; Strabomantidae.
GGAAACGUGCCUGAAUAUAAGGAACUCCUUGAUAGGGAGAACCACGGGGGUUAAAAUCCCCUCAUUUCCU